CCUACGGGAGGCAGCAGUGGGGAAUAUUGGGCAAUGGGCGCAAGCCUGACCCAGCAACGCCGCGUGAAGGAAGAAGGCUUUCGGGUUGUAAACUUCUUUUCUCAGGGACGAAGAAAGUGACGGUACCUGAGGAAUAAGCCAUGGCUAACUACGUGCCAGCAGCCGCGGUAAUACGUAGGUGGCAAGCGUUAUCCGGAUUUACUGGGUGUAAAGGGAGUGUAGGCGGGAAAGCAAGUCAGAUGUGAAAACCAUGGGCUCAACCUGUGGCCUGCAUUUGAAACUGUUUUUCUUGAGUACUGGAGAGGCAGACGGAAUUCCUAGUGGAGCGGUGAAAUGCGUAGAUAUUAGGAGGAACACCAGUGGCGAAGGCGGUCUGCUGGACAGCAACUGACGCUGAGGCGCGAAAGCGUGGGGAGCAAACAGGAUUAGAUACCCCAGUAGUC
RNAcentral lists this ribosomal RNA (443 nucleotides) under uncultured bacterium. Its description in RNAcentral is "partial 16S ribosomal RNA". It matches the Rfam family "Bacterial small subunit ribosomal RNA", at positions 338 to 795 of the family's 1533-position model. The record is from RNAcentral.